RNAcentral lists this ribosomal RNA (442 nucleotides) under Paenibacillus sp. F71. RNAcentral describes it as "bacterial SSU rRNA". It matches the Rfam family "Bacterial small subunit ribosomal RNA", at positions 117 to 545 of the family's 1533-position model. Lineage: Bacteria; Bacillati; Bacillota; Bacilli; Caryophanales; Paenibacillaceae. The record is from RNAcentral.
GUAGGCAACCUGCCCUCAAGACUGGGAUAACUACCGGAAACGGUAGCUAAUACCGGAUAAUUUAUUUUGCAGCAUUGUGAAAUAAUGAAAGGCGGAGCAAUCUGUCACUUGAGGAUGGGCCUGCGGCGCAUUAGCUAGUUGGUGGGGUAACGGCCCACCAAGGCGACGAUGCGUAGCCGACCUGAGAGGGUGAACGGCCACACUGGGACUGAGACACGGCCCAGACUCCUACGGGAGGCAGCAGUAGGGAAUCUUCCGCAAUGGGCGAAAGCCUGACGGAGCAACGCCGCGUGAGUGAUGAAGGUUUUCGGAUCGUAAAGCUCUGUUGCCAAGGAAGAACGUCUUCUAGAGUAACUGCUAGGAGAGUGACGGUACUUGAGAAGAAAGCCCCGGCUAACUACGUGCCAGCAGCCGCGGUAAUACGUAGGGGGCAAGCGUUGUC